RNAcentral lists this long non-coding RNA (240 nucleotides) under Lathyrus oleraceus (garden pea). Its description in RNAcentral is "Pisum sativum (pea) long non-coding RNA (PSAT_LNC026131)". Lineage: Eukaryota; Viridiplantae; Streptophyta; Magnoliopsida; Fabales; Fabaceae. The record is from RNAcentral.
UUGACUCCACAUAGACAUAAAUUUGUUGGAACAUGGAUUAAUCGAGUGCUACAUUUCGGUAACACGACGACUAAUCGGUUCGUGUUAUAAAUUUUUCUGUAUUUUUUUAUAUGUGAUAUUUUUAAUAUUUUCAAUAUGUUAUUUUUAUAUGUGAUAUUUUUUCUAUGUAUUUUUUUAUAUGUGUUAUUUUCAAUAUUUUUAGGAUUGAAUCUGCUCAUUGGAAGUUAAAGCAGAUGUUAG